GAACGAGAAAGUGGAGCAAUCCAUGAGUAAAGUGGCGACCGGGUGAGUAACACGUGACUACCUGCCCUUGAGUGGGGGAUAACUUCGGGAAACCGAGGCUAAUACCGCAUAACAUCGUAAGAUCAAAGGAGCAAUCCGCUGAAGGAGGGGGUCGCGGCUGAUUAGCUAGUUGGUGAGGUAACGGCUCACCAAGGCGAAGAUCAGUAGCCGGCCUGAGAGGGCGCACGGCCACACUGGAACUGAAACACGGUCCAGACUCCUACGGGAGGCAGCAGUGGGGAGUUUUGCGCAAUGGGGGAAACCCUGACGCAGCAACGCCGCGUGGAGGAUGAAGUCCCCUUGGGAUGUAAACUCCCUUUCGAUCNGGGACGAUUAUGACGGU
Molecule: ribosomal RNA, 382 nt
Filed under: uncultured bacterium
Lineage: Bacteria
Description: bacterial SSU rRNA
Rfam family: Bacterial small subunit ribosomal RNA
Source: RNAcentral